Platichthys flesus (European flounder) is the source of this 856-nucleotide long non-coding RNA. RefSeq lists it as uncharacterized. The record is from RefSeq and is a predicted model, not a curated record. Lineage: Eukaryota; Metazoa; Chordata; Actinopteri; Pleuronectiformes; Pleuronectidae. The transcript has 5 exons.
UUGAAAUUAGAGGUACAUUCACCUUAUUUCACUUAUUUUCAAAAAUAUGAUGUUUAUGAGGUGAAAUACUGAACUUAGAUCCAACACUGCGGAAAGAGACCAGUCCAUAAUCUAAGGUCAUUGGUAACUCUUAUUAGUGGCGUUUCUGUGCUGUAAUGGAUUCUAAAUCCUGACUGAAAGUCUUCCAACAAAACAUUACUGUGUAAGAAAUCACUGAACUGACUAGCAGCAGCUUAUUCAUGGAUUUUGGAAAUGAAGGGCAGGUUUGCUGUGGGUCUAAAAUUGAAGACCUGUAGAAGUGACCAUCAGCAAGAUAAGGGUAUUGCAGCAUUGAUUAGAAUAAAUACUUUGUAGCAUAAAUUAAUUGAUGGAUUAUUGUCUUCUUGUUAUCAUAGUCAACGAUCCCUGAAACUCCGGAAGUGUUUAGUGGACUCAAACACUUCACCCUCCUCUCCAUCGGCACAGUGGUAACAUCGCCGCCACCAUCACCACCACAACCCCUGCCACCACCUCCUGAUGGUGACGUAGAUGAAGAUGAUGCUUAAGAAGUCAAGGAGACGUAAAGAAGAGGAGGUGCAAAAGCAGAGAGAGGAGUAAUAACACGGAAGCUGUCUGGGGUUACUUACAUGCAGCCAUAUCAUUGGGUACAGCUGGCCUGCUGUUCCUGCUUGGUCUUCUCCAUGGCUAUACAAGCCACGCGCCUGAAAACACAAGGAGCUCACCACUCCUGCAGCUCGGGCGAGGGGAUGAGCCCCGCCGUGGCGUUCUUGGUGUUCUCCAGCUUUCCCUGCCACCAGUUGUGGUCGUCCUUGGAGAUGAUCUGAAUGAUGUCGCCCACCUGGAAGCGAACGCCCGC